This 87-nucleotide transfer RNA is filed under the name Tepidanaerobacter sp. RNAcentral describes it as "tRNA-Ser". It matches the Rfam family "tRNA". Rfam says of the family: Transfer RNA (tRNA) molecules are approximately 80 nucleotides in length. RNAcentral also lists the same sequence under 3 other names. The record is from RNAcentral. Lineage: Bacteria; Bacillati; Bacillota; Clostridia; Thermosediminibacterales; Tepidanaerobacteraceae.
GGAGGGGUGUCCGAGUGGUUUAAGGAGCUGGUCUUGAAAAUCAGUGUCUCGAAAGAGCCGUGGGUUCGAAUCCCACCCCCUCCGCCA